CCUACGGGUUGCAGCAGUGGGGAAUAUUGGGCAAUGGGCGAAAGCCUGACGGAGCAAUGCCGCGUGGAGGUAGAAGGCCCACGGGUCGUGAACUUCUUUUCCCGGAGAAGAAGCAAUGACGGUAUCUGGGGAAUAAACAUCGGCUAACUCUGUGCCAGCAGCCGCGGUAAUACAGAGGAUGCAAGCGUUGUUCGGAAUUACUGGGCGUAAAGCGCGCGUAGGCGGAUAGAUAAGUCAGAGGUGAAAUCCCGGGGCUCAACCCCGGAAUUGCCUUUGAUACUGUUUAUCUUGAGUGCAGAAGAGGUAAGUGGAAUUCCGAGUGUAGAGGUGAAAUUCGUAGAUAUUCGGAGGAACACCAGUGGCGAAGGCGGCUUACUGGUCUGCAACUGACGCUGAGGCGCGAAAGCAUGGGGAGCAAACAGGAUUAGAUACCCGCGUAGUC
RNAcentral lists this ribosomal RNA (442 nucleotides) under uncultured bacterium. RNAcentral's name for it is "bacterial SSU rRNA". It matches the Rfam family "Bacterial small subunit ribosomal RNA", at positions 338 to 795 of the family's 1533-position model. The record is from RNAcentral.